This 24-nucleotide non-coding RNA is filed under the name Cricetulus griseus (Chinese hamster). Lineage: Eukaryota; Metazoa; Chordata; Mammalia; Rodentia; Cricetidae. RNAcentral also lists the same sequence under 1 other name. The record is from RNAcentral.
UGGUAUUGCAGUACUUCCAGGAAC